Saccostrea echinata is the source of this 1349-nucleotide long non-coding RNA. RefSeq lists it as uncharacterized. Lineage: Eukaryota; Metazoa; Mollusca; Bivalvia; Ostreida; Ostreidae. The transcript is spliced from 2 exons. The record is from RefSeq and is a predicted model, not a curated record.
UACUCUGACAGAAAUUUGAUUGCUACCUUGUUUUUAUAUUGUUCGUUAUGAAAAUAAUUAACGUCUUGUUGCAACUGGCAUACUAAUCAUUCCCGGAGUUUUGCUAGUUCCAUUAACUAUAGUCUUCUAUGCAUAUCUUGUAUGUUAGUGAACCUGUAAAAAUACAGAAAAAGACGGAAAUAAAUAUACAAGCCCUGAAUUAAGGUCAAGAACACGGAAAAUCCACUGUGUUUACUUCCACAUCACAUUAUAACCUUAUCGCGGUUUAUGAAAAAGCGUAAGUUCGCUAUCGCAAUCACGCUCAGUUUCCGACCCCUCAAACCGUAUAAAAGUGAAGAGCCUGGUGGAGAAAAUUCUUUAAAACUUUUGAGAGCAGAAUGGCCGUAUCUAAGUUUUGGGGCUUUUUUAUUGCUUGUAUUUUUCUAUCGUUGGUGGUCGCCUGUUAUUCAGACGAUGUCGAUGAUACUGAUGCUACGGAACCCAUGAGAGAAACACGGCGAGUUGGUGAAAACACUGUCCGAGUUCUUCUGUCUGCCAGAGAUGAUUCGAUGUACAACACAAACAGAGUCCGCCAGAGGAGACCGUGUGGUUUUUGGAGGCGGAUCAGGGGAAAGUGUUAACAGUUUACAAUGGCAAUGUACAUAGAAGAGCUGGGCGCGGAUCAUUUAUAUAAGACUUCUAGUCAAGAUGUCUUUCUCAUAAUGACUUUAAUCAACACCAGAGGCCUUUUCAUCUUUCAAGUGAAAAAUACCACCCGAAUAUACAUCAAAUUCUUUUGUUGGAAAUUUGCAACAAUCGUGAAGACACCCAAGAUAAGAAGUGCAUAAAGCACCUGUGAUUUGAUAAAAAUACAAAAAGCACUGUCAUUACUUACAUUUUUGUGUAAAAUUUGUGGCCAAGAAAUCAGCAAUAUAUAUACAGAAACAUUGAGGCGAUGCCGAACUUCACACCCUUGUUCAGAUUUCUGUACUUUAUUCUGGCAUUAGACCAAUUAAUUUGUGAUUUAUUAUACUCACUGUGGAUAUUUUUAUGUGAUUAUAUGCAAAGAGAUGAAAUCUCAAAACUAGAUGUAAAUGCAAAUAUUUUAUUUCUCAGCGCUGAAAUACGUUCAAGAAAUCUUUAUGUAUGAAGUCUCUCAAACAUCUUUUAAUUGAAAAUUUGAUUAUUGUACUGUAUAUUUAGUGUGAAAUUUUUUUCAUAUAAAAUGAAGCAAUCUGGCAAUUCAAAACACACGCGUACUUCUAAUUAGUGCGCUUUGAAGACAAAGCUUGUAAAAAAAAAAUGUAAUAUAUUUCUCUAUUUUUAUGUGUUUAGUCAAUGUUACUAUGAAAAUAAAGUUAUAAAAUCAA